CUAUGGGCGGCUGCAGUGGGGAAUAUUGCACAAUGGGCGCAAGCCUGAUGCAGCCAUGCCGCGUGUAUGAAGAAGGCCUUCGGGUUGUAAAGUACUUUCAGCGGGGAGGAAGGGAGUAAAGUUAAUACCUUUGCUCAUUGACGUUACCCGCAGAAGAAGCACCGGCUAACUCCGUGCCAGCAGCCGCGGUAAUACGGAGGGUGCAAGCGUUAAUCGGAAUUACUGGGCGUAAAGCGCACGCAGGCGGUUUGUUAAGUCAGAUGUGAAAUCCCCGGGCUCAACCUGGGAACUGCAUCUGAUACUGGCAAGCUUGAGUCUCGUAGAGGGGGGUAGAAGUCCAGGUGUAGCGGUGAAAUGCGUAGAGAUCUGGAGGAAUACCGGUGGCGAAGGCGGCCCCCUGGACGAAGACUGACGCUCAGGUGCGAAAGCGUGGGGAGCAAACAGGAUUAGAUACCCUCGUAGUC
This 464-nucleotide ribosomal RNA is filed under the name uncultured bacterium. Its description in RNAcentral is "partial 16S ribosomal RNA". It matches the Rfam family "Bacterial small subunit ribosomal RNA", at positions 339 to 795 of the family's 1533-position model. The record is from RNAcentral.